Molecule: ribosomal RNA, 305 nt
Filed under: uncultured bacterium
Lineage: Bacteria
Description: bacterial SSU rRNA
Rfam family: Bacterial small subunit ribosomal RNA
Source: RNAcentral
CCCUACGGGGGGCAGCAGUCGGGAAUAUUGCGCAAUGGAGGAAACUCUGACGCAGUGACGCCGCGUAUAGGAAGAAGGUUUUCGGAUUGUAAACUAUUGUCGUUAGGGAAGAUAAAAGACAGUACCUAAGGAGGAAGCUCCGGCUAACUACGUGCCAGCAGCCGCGGUAAUACGUAGGGAGCAAGCGUUAUCCGGAUUUACUGGGUGUAAAGGGCGUGUAAGCGGGAAAGCAAGUCAGAUGUGAAAACCAUGGGCUCAACCUGUGGCCUGCAUUUGAAACUGUUUUUCUUGAGUACUGGAGAGGC